RNAcentral lists this RNase P RNA (308 nucleotides) under Salmonella enterica subsp. enterica serovar Bareilly str. CFSAN000231. Its description in RNAcentral is "bacterial RNase P". It matches the Rfam family "Bacterial RNase P class A", at positions 18 to 314 of the family's 367-position model. Rfam says of the family: Ribonuclease P (RNase P) is a ubiquitous endoribonuclease, found in archaea, bacteria and eukarya as well as chloroplasts and mitochondria. Its best characterised activity is the generation of mature 5'-ends of tRNAs by cleaving the 5'-leader elements of precursor-tRNAs. The record is from RNAcentral. Lineage: Bacteria; Pseudomonadati; Pseudomonadota; Gammaproteobacteria; Enterobacterales; Enterobacteriaceae.
UCGCCCCUUUUCGGGGGAGGCGGGGGGGGGGGAGGAAGCCCGGACCCCAAAGGGAGGGGUGCGAGGUACCGCCCGGGGGGGAAACCCAACGACCAGUGCAAAAGAGAGCAAACCGCCGAUGGCCCACGUAAGUGGGAUCAGGUAAGGGUGAAAGGGUGCGGUAAGAGCGCACCGCGCGGCUGGUAACAGUCCGUGGCACGGUAAACUCCACCCGGAGCAAGGCCAAAUAGGGGUUCAUAAGGUACGGCCCGUACUGAACCCGGGUAGGCUGCUUGAGCCAGUGAGCGAUUGCUGGCCUAGAUGAAUGA